RNAcentral lists this transfer RNA (69 nucleotides) under Zhangixalus chenfui (Chinese whipping frog). RNAcentral describes it as "tRNA-Arg". Lineage: Eukaryota; Metazoa; Chordata; Amphibia; Anura; Rhacophoridae. The record is from RNAcentral.
GAGGUGCUCGUCCAAAAAAGAUAGUUGAUUUCGACUCAACCGAUUGUGGUUAAAACCCACAGCCCCAUG